UAGCUCAAAGGUUAAAGCGUCUGCCUGCAAUGCAGGAGACCUGGGUUUGAUCCCUG
Molecule: non-coding RNA, 56 nt
Organism: Bos taurus (domestic cattle)
Lineage: Eukaryota; Metazoa; Chordata; Mammalia; Artiodactyla; Bovidae
Source: Rfam